RNAcentral lists this ribosomal RNA (468 nucleotides) under uncultured bacterium. RNAcentral describes it as "partial 16S ribosomal RNA". It matches the Rfam family "Bacterial small subunit ribosomal RNA", at positions 28 to 507 of the family's 1533-position model. The record is from RNAcentral.
GACGAACGCUGGCGGCGUGCUUAACACAUGCAAGUCGAACGGAAAGGCCCUGCUUUUGUGGUGUGCUCGAGUGGCGAACGGGUGAGUAACACGUGAGUAACCUGCCCUUGACUUUGGGAUAACUUCAGGAAACUGGGGCUAAUACCGGAUAGGAGCUCCUGCUGCAUGGUGGGGGUUGGAAAGUUUCGGCGGUUGGGGAUGGACUCGCGGCUUAUCAGCUUGUUGGUGGGGUAGUGGCUUACCAAGGCUUUGACGGGUAGCCGGCCUGAGAGGGUGACCGGCCACAUUGGGACUGAGAGACGGCCCAGACUCCUACGGGGGGCAGCAGUGGGGAGUAUUGCACAGUGGGCGGAAGCCUGAUGCAGCGACGCCGCGUGCGGGAUGACGGCCUUCGGGUUGUAAACCGCUUUCGCCUGUGACGAAGCGUGAGUGACGGUAAUGGAUAAAGAAGCACCGGCUAACUACGUG